This 253-nucleotide ribosomal RNA is filed under the name uncultured bacterium. RNAcentral describes it as "partial 16S ribosomal RNA". It matches the Rfam family "Bacterial small subunit ribosomal RNA", at positions 524 to 776 of the family's 1533-position model. The record is from RNAcentral.
UACGGAGGGAGCUAGCGUUGUUCGGAAUUACUGGGCGUAAAGCGCGCGUAGGCGGUUUUUCAAGUCAGAGGUGAAAGCCCGGGGCUCAACCCCGGAAUAGCCUUUGAAACUGGAAAACUUGAAUCUUGGAGAGGUCAGUGGAAUUCCGAGUGUAGAGGUGAAAUUCGUAGAUAUUCGGAAGAACACCAGUGGCGAAGGCGACUGACUGGACAAGUAUUGACGCUGAGGUGCGAAAGCGUGGGGAGCAAACAGG